AUGUAUCAGAAUUUCCACAAGCUCCACAAAGGUGAGCAACUAAAGAACAAUUUGUGGGCAAUUGCUAGGGCUACAAACAACCCUGCAUACAAAAAAACAAUGCAAAAGAUGGAACAAGACAACAUUGAUGCAUACAAAUGGGUUGAGAAAUGGCCACCAAGAACCUGGAUUAAAGCAUUUUUUAACCCAUUUCCAAAGUGUGACAUUCUACUCAAUAACAUGUCCGAAGUUUUCAAUAGUUGGAUCUUGGAAUCUAGAAAACUACCCAUUAUGUCUAUGUUGGAUAGCAUCACUGACAAGAUCACAAGCAGAAUGUACAACAAGAAAAAGGAGGUGUCCAAUGAUAGAAAAUGGUGUAAAAAAUUGUGCCCAAAAAUACAAAAGAAGCUUGACAAGUUUACUGACUGCUUUCUGCAUGGUCCAAGGGGUUGGUCAGAAGGUUUUCAAGGUGUUGUCAAUGAACCAUUCCUAUAUAGUUGA
Molecule: ribosomal RNA, 480 nt
Filed under: Triticum aestivum (bread wheat)
Lineage: Eukaryota; Viridiplantae; Streptophyta; Magnoliopsida; Poales; Poaceae
Description: partial small subunit ribosomal RNA
Source: RNAcentral